This 504-nucleotide ribosomal RNA is filed under the name Callinectes sapidus (blue crab). RNAcentral describes it as "partial large subunit ribosomal RNA". It matches the Rfam family "Bacterial large subunit ribosomal RNA", at positions 1854 to 2605 of the family's 2925-position model. Lineage: Eukaryota; Metazoa; Arthropoda; Malacostraca; Decapoda; Portunidae. The record is from RNAcentral.
CUAGCCUGCUCNCUGACAUAAAGUGUUAAAUAGCCGCGGUAUCUUGACCGUGCAAAGGUAGCAUAAUCAUUAGUUUCUUAAUUGGGAAUUUGUAUGAAUGGUUGGACAAAGAAAAAUCUGUCUCUUGCACUGAAAUUGAAUUUAACUUCUAAGUGAAAAGGCUUAGAUUAUCCAGAGGGACGAUAAGACCCUAUAAAGCUUUAUAAAUUUAUUAAUUUCGUUUAUUUUUUAUUAUAAUAAUGAUGAUAAGAGAAUUUAUUUGGUUGGGGCAACCGAAGUAUAAUUUUAAAUAACUGCUAUAAUUUAAUACAAUGAUUUUUGUCUUAUACAAUAAUUGAUCCUCAAAGAGAUUAAAGACCAAGUUACUUUAGGGAUAACAGCGUAAUUUAUCCUGAGAGUUCUUAUCAAAGGAAAAGUUUGCGACCUCGAUGUUGAAUUAAAAUGUCUACCUAGUGCAGCAGCUAGGAAAGAAGGUCUGUUCGACCUUUAAUUUUUUACAUGAUC